RNAcentral lists this ribosomal RNA (205 nucleotides) under Clostridioides difficile. RNAcentral's name for it is "partial 16S ribosomal RNA". It matches the Rfam family "Bacterial small subunit ribosomal RNA", at positions 605 to 810 of the family's 1533-position model. Lineage: Bacteria; Bacillati; Bacillota; Clostridia; Peptostreptococcales; Peptostreptococcaceae. The record is from RNAcentral.
CGGCUCAACCGUAGUAAGCUCUUGAAACUGGGAGACUUGAGUGCAGGAGAGGAGAGUGGAAUUCCUAGUGUAGCGGUGAAAUGCGUAGAUAUUAGGAGGAACGCCAGUUGCGAAGGCGGCUCUCUGGACUGUAACUGACGCUGAGGCACGAAAGCGUGGGGAGCAAACAGGAUUAGAUACCCUGGUAGUCCACGCUGUAAACGAU